AAGAGUAUUUGAGCUCAGGGUUUAUUGUGGCGGGAAGAUUUACAUGUGUGGUUUAUAGUGAAGGAAAGAAUUUUUUAGAUAAGGAUAGAUAUAAAGUGGUUGCAGUAAAUAGUUUUAAUAAUUCAGGAAACUGAGAAUUGGCUAAGUCGGUAAUAUGGACAAAGCUUGUGCCAGCAGUAGCGGUUAUACUUGCCAUAUAAUAAUAAAUUUUUGGUUUUAAAAUAAAUUUUAUUUAGAGUUAAGAAGAAAUUUUUUAAGGUGAAAUUUUAAGUUUUAGUUGGGCUUAGGGUUAAAUUUGAAUUUUAAAAAAUUUUUAAUUAAACUAGGAUUAGAUACCCUAUUAUUAGAAAUGUAAAUUAUGGGCCUAGUUAGUAUCAGAGAUGUUCUUGAAAGUUAACAAAGUUGGCGGUUUUUUAGUCCAUUCAGAGGAGCCUGUCCUGUAAUUGAUAGUCCACGAUUAGAGUUAACUUGUUUUAGUGAUUCACAUAUCGCUGUGGAUUGAAUAUUUUAGUAGAAAUUUAAUGUUCAGUAUGUUUAGGGAAAAGAUUUCAAGUCAAGGUGUGGUUUAUAGAUAAGGAGAGGUGGGCUACAAUGAAUUUAUUUAGAUGGAAAGGAGAAGUUUAAUAUUUUUUUGAAAGUGGAUUUGAGUGUAAUUUUAUAGAUAUUUUUAAUAUGAUUUGGCUCUAAAAUAUGCACAUAUCGCCCGUCGCUUUCACUUUAAGGUGAAAUAAGUCGUAACAAAGUAGAUGUACUGGAAAGUGUCUCUAGAAAGUC
RNAcentral lists this non-coding RNA (774 nucleotides) under Trigonopterus selaruensis. The record is from RNAcentral. Lineage: Eukaryota; Metazoa; Arthropoda; Insecta; Coleoptera; Curculionidae.